UCAGCCAGGAACACUGUACCAACGUGCUGGCCUCAUCUGCCGUACGUCCCAAACCGAAGCGUAAUGGGCGAAAAAAACGGAGCAGACAGCCUGUGUCAGCGGAGAUAAAACAAGGGAUUACCACGUCUACUACGAUCCGCAUCCUGCAUGCGACGGUUAACUGGAAAAGACACAAGUCCACUACAGGGGGUCUACCACUUGGACACUCACCUGGCAUGAAAUCAC
This is a non-coding RNA of Pelobates cultripes (western spadefoot toad), 225 nucleotides long. The record is from the annotation of a GenBank genome assembly. NCBI's taxonomy places the organism in Eukaryota, Metazoa, Chordata, Amphibia, Anura, Pelobatidae.